UCAAAUCUCUAAAUUCUUCAAUUAACUCUAACUCUCUAGCCAUCAAUGUUGACAUAUGCAACGUCUUCCCACUCAGCGCGUCAGUCACUACAUUGACUUUACUAGAAUGGUAAUUCAAACUAAAAUCAUAAUCCUUUAACAAUUCAAGUCACCUCCUCUUACUUAUAUUUAACUUAUUCUGAUCGAAUAGGUACUUCAAGCUCUUAUGAUCACUGAUUUUUUUUAAAUCUAGUUCCAAACAUAUAAUGUCUCCAAAUUUCAAGUGCAAAC
This 270-nucleotide long non-coding RNA is filed under the name Lathyrus oleraceus (garden pea). RNAcentral describes it as "Pisum sativum (pea) long non-coding RNA (PSAT_LNC024353)". The record is from RNAcentral. Lineage: Eukaryota; Viridiplantae; Streptophyta; Magnoliopsida; Fabales; Fabaceae.